Molecule: ribosomal RNA, 388 nt
Filed under: uncultured bacterium
Lineage: Bacteria
Description: bacterial SSU rRNA
Rfam family: Bacterial small subunit ribosomal RNA
Source: RNAcentral
GACGAACGCUGGCGGCGUGCUUAACACAUGCAAGUCGAGCAGUAAGGCCCUUUCGGGGGUACGACGAGCGGCGAACGGGUGAGUAACACGUGGGUGACCUGCCCUCAGCUCUGGGAUAAGCCUGGGAAACCGGGUCUAAUACUGGAUAUGACUCCAUGACGCAUGUUGUGGGGUGGAAAGCCUUGUGCGGCUGAGGAUGGGCCCGCGGCCUAUCAGCUUGUUGGUGGGGUGAGGCCUACCAAGGCGACGACGGGUAGCCGGCCUGAGAGGGCGACCGGCCACACUGGGACUGAGACACGGCCCAGACUCCUACGGGAGGCAGCAGUGGGGAAUCUUGCGCAAUGGGCGAAAGCCUGACGCAGCGACGCCGCGUGAGGGAUGACGGCCU